This 460-nucleotide ribosomal RNA is filed under the name uncultured bacterium. Its description in RNAcentral is "partial 16S ribosomal RNA". It matches the Rfam family "Bacterial small subunit ribosomal RNA", at positions 28 to 506 of the family's 1533-position model. The record is from RNAcentral.
GAUAAACGCUGGCGGCGUGCUUAACACAUGCAAGUCGAACGAAGUUUUUCUUUCGGGAGGCACUUAGUGGCGGACGGGUGAGUAACGCGUGGGUAACCUGCCCUGUACAGGGGGACAACAGCUGGAAACGGCUGCUAAUACCGCAUAAGCCCUUAGCACUGCAUGGUGCAUAGGGAAAAGGAGCAAUCCGGUACAGGAUGACCCGCGUCUGAUUAGCCAGUUGGCAGGGUAACGGCCUACCAAAGCGACGAUCAGUAGCCGAUCUGAGAGGAUGUACGGCCACAUUGGGACUGAGACACGGCCCAGACUCCUACGGGAGGCAGCAGUGGGGAAUAUUGCACAAUGGAGGAAACUCUGAUGCAGCGACGCCGCGUGAGUGAAGAAGUAUUUCGGUAUGUAAAGCUCUAUCAGCAGGAAAGAAAAUGACGGUACCUGACUAAGAAGCACCGGCUAAAUACGU